UACGUAGGGAGCAAGCGUUGUCCGGAAUCAUUGGGCGUAAAGCGCGCGUAGGUGGCUUCGUAAGUCCGUUGUGAAAGUCAAAGGCUCAACCUUUGAAAGCCGAUGGAUACUGCGGAGCUAGAGUACGGAAGAGGCGAGUGGAAUUCCUGGUGUAGCGGUGGAAUGCGCAGAUAUCAGGAGGAACACCAAUAGCGAAGGCAGCUCGCUGGGACGUUACUGACACUGAGGCGCGAAAGCGUGGGGAGCGAA
This 249-nucleotide ribosomal RNA is filed under the name uncultured bacterium. RNAcentral describes it as "partial 16S ribosomal RNA". It matches the Rfam family "Bacterial small subunit ribosomal RNA", at positions 524 to 772 of the family's 1533-position model. The record is from RNAcentral.